GUAGGGAAUCUUCCACAAUGGACGCAAGUCUGAUGGAGCAACGGCCGCGUGAGUGAAGAAGGUCUUCGGAUCGUAAAGCUCUGUUGUUGGUGAAGAAGGAUAGAGGCAGUAACUGGUCUUUAUUUGACGGUAAUCAACCAGAAAGUCACGGCUAACUACGUGCCAGCAGCCGCGGUAAUACGUAGGUGGCAAGCGUUGUCCGGAUUUAUUGGGCGUAAAGCGAGCGCAGGCGGAAUGAUAAGUCUGAUGUGAAAGCCCACGGCUCAACCGUGGAACUGCAUCGGAAGCUGUCAUUCUUGAGUGCAGAAGAGGAGAGUGGAACUCCAUGUGUAGCGGUGGAAUGCGUAGAUAUAUGGAAGAACACCAGUGGCGAAGGCGGCUCUCUGGUCUGCAACUGACGCUGAGGCUCGAAAGCAUGGGUAGCGAACAGGAUUAGAUACCCUGGUAGUCCAUGCCGUAAACGAUGAGCGCUAGGUGUUGGGGACUUUCCGGUCCUCAGUGCCGCAGCAAACGCAUUAAGCGCUCCGCCUGGGGAGUACGACCGCAAGGUUGAACUCUAAGUGAAUUGACGGGUCAUA
Molecule: ribosomal RNA, 578 nt
Filed under: uncultured bacterium
Lineage: Bacteria
Description: partial 16S ribosomal RNA
Rfam family: Bacterial small subunit ribosomal RNA
Source: RNAcentral